UUUCCGUAGGUGAACCUGCGGAAGGAUCAUUAUCGUAAAACCGAGGUGCGAGGGCUGUCGCUGACCUUUUCGGUCGUGCACGCCCGAGCGCUCUCACACAAUCCAUCUCACCCCUUGUGCACCACCGCGUGGGUCCCUUUCUGGCUCGUCCGGAGGGGGGGCUCGCGUUUUCACACAAACUUGAAGUAGUGUAGAAUGUCCUUUUUUUGCGAUAACACGCAAUCAAUACAACUUUCAACAACGGAUCUCUUGGCUCUC
Molecule: unclassified non-coding RNA, 258 nt
Filed under: plant metagenome
Description: partial contains small subunit ribosomal RNA, internal transcribed spacer 1, and 5.8S ribosomal RNA
Source: RNAcentral